AUGGCUAGAAACAUAACAGAGCAAGACGACUCACGUACGCGUCACUCGGCGAGGCUGGCGAGCUUCUUGGGCUCCAUGAAGUGGGAGAGGACGGAGACGGCGAUGUCGAUGCGCUUCACGGCGAGCGAUCCUGCACGCGCAGUACAUGUAGUCGAGCGACUUGCCCACGUCGCCGCCGCCGCCUCUGGCUGCCUGACGGGGCUUGCUGGAGCCGGACUUGGCGGUGGCGGUGGUGUCCGGGUCGUCGGAGAGGUCGACCUUGGCAAGGGCCUCAGUGGCGGCCACAACCGGGUCCGGGUCGUCCCUGUCGGGGCUGCUGUCCGGCGAGGAGGUGGAGGAGUCGGGGGUCUUUCCGGGGACGGGGGCCUUGCCUCUGGCGAGGCACUCAGCGCGGCGCGGGAUGAGGUGCUCCUCCAACAACUUGAUGGCCAGGACGGCGGCCAUGACGCGGUCGAGGGCAUGGGCCUGGGAUCUGGGGCGGACCAGGAACUGUUGCGCGAGCAUCGCAUCGUGGCGUGGGCGUCGGCGUACGCGUCAGAGGUUGGAGGCGAGCUCGCCGAGAGUGGCGUCCGCGUCCGCAGGGGUGGCGGUGGGGGCGCCGUCGUCGGCUGGAGGUCCUGCAUGCGGUGCUGGAGUUGCAGGAGGCGGUCGCGGGUGUCCUGCGGGUUGAAAACAAGUAAUGGCAGGGGGCAAAAUGCAAAACGUUCGGUGUUGCGCAGCUCGGCCGAGCUGGCUCCACUUGGCAGCUGUUGA
RNAcentral lists this ribosomal RNA (753 nucleotides) under Triticum aestivum (bread wheat). Its description in RNAcentral is "partial small subunit ribosomal RNA". The record is from RNAcentral. Lineage: Eukaryota; Viridiplantae; Streptophyta; Magnoliopsida; Poales; Poaceae.